AGCGCAGACGGUUGAUUAAGUCUGAUGUGAAAGCCCGGAGCUCAACUCCGGAAUGGCAUUGGAAACUGGUUAACUUGAGUGCAGUAGAGGUAAGUGGAACUCCAUGUGUAGCGGUGGAAUGCGUAGAUAUAUGGAAGAACACCAGUGGCGAAGGCGGCUUACUGGACUGUAACUGACGUUGAGGCUCGAAAGUGUGGGUAGCAAACA
Molecule: ribosomal RNA, 207 nt
Filed under: uncultured bacterium
Lineage: Bacteria
Description: partial 16S ribosomal RNA
Rfam family: Bacterial small subunit ribosomal RNA
Source: RNAcentral